RNAcentral lists this ribosomal RNA (424 nucleotides) under uncultured prokaryote. Its description in RNAcentral is "bacterial SSU rRNA". It matches the Rfam family "Bacterial small subunit ribosomal RNA", at positions 355 to 796 of the family's 1533-position model. The record is from RNAcentral.
UCGAGGAUCUUCGGCAAUGGGCGCAAGCCCGACCGAGCGAUGCCGCGUGGGCGACGAAGGCCUUCGGGUUGUAAAGCCCUGUCGAGGGGGAGGAACUCUGACCUAUCCCUGGAGGAAGCUCGGGCUAAGUUCGUGCCAGCAGCCGCGGUAAGACGAACCGAGCGAACGUUGUUCGGAAUCACUGGGCUUAAAGGGCGCGUAGGCGGGCCGUCAAGUCCGGGGUGAAAUCCCCCCGCUCAACGGGGGAACGGCCCCGGAUACUGGCGGCCUGGAGGGGGGUAGGGGCGUGCGGAACACUGGGUGGAGCGGUGAAAUGCGUUGAUAUCCGGUGGAACUCCGGUGGCGAAGGCGGCACGCUGGACCCGUACUGACGCUGAGGCGCGAAAGCCAGGGGAGCGAACGGGAUUAGAUACCCCCGUAGUCC